CCUACGGGUGGCAGCAGUGAGGAAUAUUGGUCAAUGGGCGGAAGCCUGAACCAGCCAAGUAGCGUGCAGGAUGACGGCCCUACGGGUUGUAAACUGCUUUUAUACGGGAAUAACGCGCCUUACGUGUAGGGCUUUGCAUGUACCGUAUGAAUAAGGACCGGCUAAUUCCGUGCCAGCAGCCGCGGUAAUACGGAAGGUCCGGGAGUUAUCCGGAUUUAUUGGGUUUAAAGGGAGCGUAGGCCGCAUGUCAAGCGUGCUGUGAAAUGUCCGGGCUCAACCCGGGCCUUGCAGCGCAAACUGGCGUGCGGGAGUGCGCGGAAGGCAGGCGGAAGUCGUGGUGUAGCGGUGAAAUGCUUAGAUAUCACGAAGAACCCCGAUUGCGAAGGCAGCUUGCUGCAGCGGAACUGACGCUGAUGCUCGAAAGCGCGGGUAUCGAACAGGAUUAGAUACCCGAGUAGUC
RNAcentral lists this ribosomal RNA (460 nucleotides) under uncultured bacterium. Its description in RNAcentral is "partial 16S ribosomal RNA". It matches the Rfam family "Bacterial small subunit ribosomal RNA", at positions 338 to 795 of the family's 1533-position model. The record is from RNAcentral.